ACGGGUGAGUAACGCGUGGGAAUCUACCGUACCCUACGGAAUAGCUCUGGGAAACUGGAAGUAAUACCGUAUACGCCCUAACGGGGAAAGAUUUAUCGGGGUAUGAUGAGCCCGCGUUGGAUUAGCUAGUUGGUGGGGUAAAGGCCUACCAAGGCGACGAUCCAUAGCUGGUCUGAGAGGAUGAUCAGCCACAUUGGGACUGAGACACGGCCCAAACUCCUACGGGAGGCGGCAGUGGGGAAUAUUGGACAAUGGGCGCAAGCCUGAUCCAGCCAUGCCGCGUGAGUGAUGAAGGUCUUAGGAUUGUAAAGCUCUUUCAACGGUGAAGAUAAUGACGGUAACCGUAGAAGAAGCCCCGGCUAACUUCGUGCCAGCAGCCGCGGUAAUACGAAGGGGGCUAGCGUUGUUCGGAAUUACUGGGCGUAAAGCGCACGUAGGCGGGUAUUUAAGUCAGGGGUGAAAUCCCGCAGCUCAACUGCGGAACUGCCUUUGAUACUGGGUAUCUUGAGUAUGGAAGAGGUAAGUGGAAUUGCGAGUGUAGAGGUGAAAUUCGUAGA
RNAcentral lists this ribosomal RNA (557 nucleotides) under uncultured bacterium. Its description in RNAcentral is "bacterial SSU rRNA". It matches the Rfam family "Bacterial small subunit ribosomal RNA", at positions 102 to 694 of the family's 1533-position model. The record is from RNAcentral.